Molecule: ribosomal RNA, 356 nt
Filed under: uncultured eukaryote
Lineage: Eukaryota
Description: partial 18S ribosomal RNA
Rfam family: Eukaryotic small subunit ribosomal RNA
Source: RNAcentral
CAAUAGCGUAUAUUAACGUUGUUGCAGUUAAAAAGCUCGUAGUUGGAUUUCUGGAGGGAGCGUCGGCCCGUAUUUACGAGUGCGUGACGUCUCUGUCCAUCCUUGCGGGAAGGCACGGCAUUGAUUUGUUGUGUCGGAUCGCAUCAUUUACUGUGAAAAAAUUAGAGUGUUCAAAGCAGGCUUUCGCUUGAAUACAUUAAUAAGAUAGGACUUUGGUGCUAUUUUGUUGGUUGAGCCUAAAGUAAUGAUUAAUAGGGAUAGUUGGGGGCACCUGUAUUGCGUUGUCAGAGGUGAAAUUCUUGGAUUUACGCAAGACAAACAGCUGCGAAAGCGUCUGCCAAGGAUGUUUUCAUUAA